AGCGCAGGCGGGAAGACAAGUUGGAAGUGAAAUCUAUGGGCUCAACCCAUAAACUGCUUUCAAAACUGUUUUUCUUUGAGUAGUGCAGAGGUAGGCGGAAUUCCCGGUGUAGCGGUGGAAUGCGUAGAUAUCGGGAGGAACACCAGUGGCGAAGGCGGCCUACUGGGCACCAACUGACGCUGAGGCUCGAAAGCAUGGGUAGCAAACA
RNAcentral lists this ribosomal RNA (208 nucleotides) under uncultured bacterium. RNAcentral's name for it is "partial 16S ribosomal RNA". It matches the Rfam family "Bacterial small subunit ribosomal RNA", at positions 568 to 774 of the family's 1533-position model. The record is from RNAcentral.